CCUACGGGGGGCUGCAGUGAGGAAUAUUGGUCAAUGGACGCAAGUCUGAACCAGCCAUGCCGCGUGCAGGAAGACGGCUCUAUGAGUUGUAAACUGCUUUUGUACGAGGGUAAACGCAGAUACGCGUAUCUGUCUGAAAGUAUCGUACGAAUAAGGAUCGGCUAACUCCGUGCCAGCAGCCGCGGUAAUACGGAGGAUUCAAGCGUUAUCCGGAUUUAUUGGGUUUAAAGGGUGCGUAGGCGGUCGGAUAAGUUAGCGGUGAAAUCCCGAGGCUCAACUUCGGAAUUGCGUCUGAUACUGUUCGGCUAGAGAGUAGUUGCGGUAGGCGGAAUGUAUGGUGUAGCGGUGAAAUGCUUAGAGAUCAUACAGAACACCGAUUGCGAAGGCAGCUUACCAAGCUACUUCUGACGUUGAGGCACGAAAGCGUGGGGAGCGAACAGGAUUAGAUACCCCUGUAGUC
RNAcentral lists this ribosomal RNA (460 nucleotides) under uncultured bacterium. RNAcentral's name for it is "partial 16S ribosomal RNA". It matches the Rfam family "Bacterial small subunit ribosomal RNA", at positions 338 to 795 of the family's 1533-position model. The record is from RNAcentral.